RNAcentral lists this long non-coding RNA (1051 nucleotides) under Nicotiana tabacum (common tobacco). Its description in RNAcentral is "long non-coding RNA (NTAB_LNC013020)". The record is from RNAcentral. Lineage: Eukaryota; Viridiplantae; Streptophyta; Magnoliopsida; Solanales; Solanaceae.
CCAUUAUAUAAUUUGAUUGUCCCUUAAACAUGAAAGCUGGAUGGUUUAGCACGGAGAAUAAGCUACUUUCCGUGAAUUGCUGACCCAAGACCAAGACAGACCCAACAUCAGCAUUUUGCAUUUUGCUCUCGUUUUUUUUUUUUUUUUCCCCUCUUUCUCCCGUUAUGCUCAAAUUUUGGGUCCGCCUUGUCAAGUCCAAUCCCAUCAAUAAGGGUGCGGCUUAGGUCAGAAAUACCUUUAUCGAAGAUGAAAGUUACCCUGAAAUUAACCGCAUCUCAUUUUCCUGACGUCUACAGCAGUAUUUUGAGUGGACUUGAAGAAGAGAGGAUAAAGAAAAUAGUACAUCUUCCAGGUAUAUUUACUCCACCCUCAAAUUGACUCUCUUUUUUUCUUCUGAAACCUAACUCUUGGAGAAGUCUAUAGGAAUGUAUAUUACCGAAGAGUGAAAAAGUAGUUUGCCGCAACAGCAAUUUACUCAACACAGCUACUUCAGCUGUAACAAUCAAGCAACAAGUUGCCAUUAUUUUGAACCAUCUAUAUCUAAAAGAAAAUCACAAGUCAUGCAACCAGUCAUAGUUGACUAUUUAAACAGGUCAUCAUGACCAAUUGUCAUAAUAUUUGCCUCAGAGAUACAUUGAAAAUCUCCUAAUUAUGGAUUGUUCCUUCUUUUUUUUUGGGUAAAUCCCAAUUCUGGAUUAACGGCGCUCCAAAAAAGAAAGAAAAAAGAUAAAAGAAAUACAUGUUAGAAAAGAGCAUCAUUCACCAAGUCAGCUGCAGCAUACAAACGUCUUUAUGCAACUUACGGACAAAGAGGCACUCGUGCUUUCAAAGAUGACAAAACAGAGACGAACAAAACAAAGGAAACCAAGAAACAAAUAUUUAACUAUAUAUUACUACUAUAAAAAGACAAAAUUUUACAACCCAUUGCCAAUUGACACAAUAUUACAUACAGCUGGAAGAGGGGACGGGAGAAAAGGAUUAACAGAUAUCACAAAUCUAGAAUGUGCCGGACUAUCAACUAUACAUUCCCUUCAAAAUCUUCUAUGCAGGA